GAUGAACGCUGGCGGCGUGCCUAAUACAUGCAAGUCGAGCGAACGGACGAGAAGCUUGCUUCUCUGAUGUUAGCGGCGGACGGGUGAGUAACACGUGGAUAACCUACCUAUAAGACUGGGAUAACUUCGGGAAACCGGAGCUAUUCCCGAAAAAUUUUUUGAACGGCAGGGUUCAAAGUUAAAAGACGGUCUUCCUGUCACUAAUGUAUGAACCCGCGCUGCAUUAGCUAGUUGGUAAGGUAACGGCUUACCAAGGCAACGAUGCAAAGCCGACCUGAGAGGGUGAUCGGCCACACUGGAACUGAGACACGGUCCAGACUCCUACGGGAGGCAGCAGUAGGGAAUCUUCCGCAAUGGGCGAAAGCCUGACGGAGCAACGCCGCGUGAGUGAUGAAGGUCUUCGGAUCGUAAAACUCUGUUAUUAGGGAAGAACAUAUGUGUAAGUAACUGUGCACAUCUUGACGGUACCUAAUCAGAAAGCCACGGCUAACUACGUG
Molecule: ribosomal RNA, 497 nt
Filed under: uncultured bacterium
Lineage: Bacteria
Description: partial 16S ribosomal RNA
Rfam family: Bacterial small subunit ribosomal RNA
Source: RNAcentral